AGAAGAAAUAGUUGAGGUCGUUGGUGCCCAUGGAGUGGAGGACGGCGAGGAGUUGGAGGGCCAGGUCAGCUGCCACCUCGGGGGCUGCCCUGAAGAAGUCGCGUAGGGGCCGGGUGCUGGCGCUGACCACCAGCCGCCCACAGGAGCCCAGGUACCGUGGGAAGGGCCACCCCUCCACGUCGGGGAAGAUCUGUAAGAGGAUA
This 203-nucleotide long non-coding RNA is filed under the name Gallus gallus (chicken). The record is from RNAcentral. Lineage: Eukaryota; Metazoa; Chordata; Aves; Galliformes; Phasianidae.